Molecule: ribosomal RNA, 460 nt
Filed under: uncultured bacterium
Lineage: Bacteria
Description: partial 16S ribosomal RNA
Rfam family: Bacterial small subunit ribosomal RNA
Source: RNAcentral
CCUACGGGUGGCUGCAGUGAGGAAUAUUGGUCAAUGGGCGCGAGCCUGAACCCGCCAAGUAGCGUGAAUGAUGACUGCCCUACGGGUUGUAAACUUCUUUUAUAAAGGAAUAAAGUGAGGCACGUGUGCCUUUUUGUAUUUAUUUUAUGAAUAAGGAUCGGCUAACUCCGUUCCAGCAGCCGCGGUAAUACGGCGGAUCCGAGCGUUAUCCGGAUUUAUUGGGUGUAAAGGGAGCGUAGAUGGGUUGUUAAGUCAGUUGUGAAAGUUUGCGGCUCAACCGUUAAAUUGCAAUUGAUACUGGCAGCCUUGAGUACAGUUGAGGUAGGCGGAAUUCGUGGUGUAGCGGUGAAAUGCUUAGAUAGCACGAAGAACUCCGAUUGCGAAGGCAGCCUGCUAAACUGCCACUGACAUUGAUGCUCGAAAGUGUGGGUAUCAAACAGGAUUAGAUACCCGAGUAGUC